GAUGAACGCUAGCGGCAGGCUUAACACAUGCAAGUCGAGGGGUAACAGGAGAGCUCGCUCUCGCUGACGACCGGCGCACGGGUGCGUAACGCGUAUGCAACCUACCCGUAACUCGAGAAUAGCCCAUAGAAAUGUGGAUUAAUGCUCGAUAAUAUUUUAAAGAGGCAUCUCUUUAAUCUUAAAGUUCCGACGGUUACGGAUGGGCAUGCGUAGCAUUAGCUUGACGGUGAGGUAACGGCUCACCGUAUUGGCCAUGAUGCUUAGGGGGUCUUAAAGGAUGAUCCCCCACACUGGUACUGAGACACGGACCAGACUCCUACGGGAGGCAGCAGUGAGGAAUAUUGGGCAAUGGACGAAAGUCUGACCCAGCCAUGCCGCGUGCAGGAUGACAGCCCUACGGGUUGUAAACUGCUUUUAUACGGGAAGAAACCUCUCUACGUGUAGAGAGCUGACGGUACCGUAUGAAUAAGCAUCGGCUAACUCCGUGCCAGCAGCCGCGGUAAUACGGAGGAUGCAAGCGUUAUCCGGAUUUAUUAGGUUUAAAGGGUGCGCAGGCGGAGAUGUAAGUCAUCGGUGAAAUCCUACAGCUUAACUGUAGAACUGCCGGUGAUACUGUUUCUCUUGAGUAUAGUUGAGGUAGGCGGAAUGUGUAGUGUAGCGGUGAAAUGCAUAGAUAUUACACAGAACACCGAUUGCGAAGGCAGCUUACUAAACUAUUACUGACGCUCAUGCACGAAAGCGUGGGGAGCGAACAGGAUUAGAUACCCUGGUAGUCCACGCCGUAAACGAUGAUCACUAGCUGUGUGCGAUAUACUGUACGUGACUGAGCGAAAGCAUUAAGUGAUCCACCUGGGGAGUACGUCGGCAACGAUGAAACUCAAAGGAAUUGACGGGGGCCCGCACAAGCGGAGGAACAUGUGGUUUAAUUCGAUGAUACGCGAGGAACCUUACCCGGGUUUAAAUGCAGAACGAAAGACCGAGAAAUCGGUCCCUCUUCGGACGGACUGCAAGGUGCUGCAUGGCUGUCGUCAGCUCGUGCCGUGAGGUGUCGGGUUAAGUCCCAUAACGAGCGCAACCCCUAUCAUUAGUUGCUAACAGGU
Molecule: ribosomal RNA, 1100 nt
Filed under: uncultured Bacteroidota bacterium
Lineage: Bacteria; Pseudomonadati; Bacteroidota
Description: bacterial SSU rRNA
Rfam family: Bacterial small subunit ribosomal RNA
Source: RNAcentral